UGGGGAAUUUUGGACAAUGGGCGAAAGCCUGAUCCAGCAAUGCCGCGUGUGUGAAGAAGGCCUUCGGGUUGUAAAGCACUUUUGUCCGGAAAGAAAUCCUUGGCUCUAAUACAGUCGGGGGAUGACGGUACCGGAAGAAUAAGCACCGGCUAACUACGUGCCAGCAGCCGCGGUAAUACGUAGGGUGCAAGCGUUAAUCGGAAUUACUGGGCGUAAAGCGUGCGCAGGCGGUUUGCUAAGACCGAUGUGAAAUCCCCGGGCUCAACCUGGGAACUGCAUUGGUGACUGGCAGGCUAGAGUAUGGCAGAGGGGGGUAAAUUCCACGUGUAGCAGUGAAAUGCGUAGAGAUGUGGAGGAAUACCGAUGGCGAAGGCAGCCCCCUGGGCCAAUACUGACGCUCAUGCACGAAAGCGUGGGGAGCAAACAGGAUUAGAUACCCUGGUAGUCCACGCCCUAAACGAUGUCAACUAGUUGUUGGGGAUUCAUUUCCUUAGUAACGUAGCUAACGCGUGAAGUUGACCGCCUGGGGAGUACGGUCGCAAGAUUAAAACUCAAAUGAAUUGACGGGGUC
This 571-nucleotide ribosomal RNA is filed under the name uncultured bacterium. RNAcentral's name for it is "partial 16S ribosomal RNA". It matches the Rfam family "Bacterial small subunit ribosomal RNA", at positions 355 to 920 of the family's 1533-position model. The record is from RNAcentral.